GCUAAACCUCCAGAAGAGUGCAAAGAAAAUGAGCUUCCAUAUGGCUGGGAAAAAAUCGAUGAUCCCAUUUAUGGCACUUAUUAUGUUGA
RNAcentral lists this small RNA (89 nucleotides) under Pan troglodytes (chimpanzee). RNAcentral's name for it is "processed transcript". The record is from RNAcentral. Lineage: Eukaryota; Metazoa; Chordata; Mammalia; Primates; Hominidae. RNAcentral also lists the same sequence under 1 other name.